Molecule: long non-coding RNA, 1081 nt
Organism: Astatotilapia calliptera (eastern happy)
Lineage: Eukaryota; Metazoa; Chordata; Actinopteri; Cichliformes; Cichlidae
Source: Ensembl
GUUUGCAGUGGCAUCAGUCAUGAGUGGACAGAGGAGGGCUCUGAGCCACACAGGACCCAGCCCAGAGACAGAGCUGCCAAUGACAACAUGACCCAGUUCAAAACUCCACUGACUUAAAAACAGACUUUUUCAAAGACAGGAGCUGCUUCACAAGUUUCCUUCAUCUCUUUUUAUAGGCACACUUAUAAUGUUUCCUGAUCUUGGUGGGACGCGUAGGCUUCUUCUAGUGAUUUGAUGUUUUUUUCUAAUUCCUGAAUAUUUUUGUUUUCUUCUUUCUUUUUGUGUGAUGAGAAAGAAAUUAUUUUACCUCUCAUCACAGCUUUCCCUGCUUCCCAUCUUUUUAUAGGCACACUUGUUUGAAGAAGAAGAAGAGUUUAUUCCCAAAGUGGAGUCUGGAACCUCCUUCCUCCCCAGGGGUCCUCGAUGGGGUCCUUUGGGGUUUGUUAGCAUAAUUUGGUGUUUAAUAUAUUUAUUAUUUUUCACAAUGAAAUACAAAAAUACAAAGCAUAAAAUAAAAGUAAAAGAGGAGAGAAAAAUUAAAAUAAAAAACCCACCCGAACAAACAAAACCCCUGUUCGCUGUCAAGUAAUCAAAAGUUUAAAAGUGCAAAAUAUUUUUUUCUUUUUUUUUUUUUUCUAAAUGACAUCAGAAACAGCAGUAUGCGACAUUACGUGAUGGCAGAGCUUCAGUUCAUCCAUUGUCUUUUUUUUUUUUUUUUUUUUUAAUAAAUAGGACAGGGGGAAUGAAUGAGAGAGAGAGGGGGAGAGAAAGAAAGAAAACCAAAGGGGAGAAGAAACGGUGAGAAGGGGGGGGAAGAGAGAGAAGAAAAAAAACUCCUGGGUCACCUGUAUGGAGAAAAAAAAAACAAACAAACAAACAAAAACAAACAGAGGAGACAGCAAACAACAAAGAGCAACAUAAUAAUAGAGAAAACAAAGCACCAUCACAAUAAACUAGCUAGUCAUAGAUAUCAGUAUUUACUAAGUAAUAAACGAUAUUGUGCAGCACGCAAGAUAGACAGCGCACAGUGUGCUUUGAGGCAGCAGCCAAGAAAGCUUUAGUCCGCGUCUGUGAAUACCCA